AACGAACGCUGGCGGCAUGCCUAACACAUGCAAGUCGAACGAGACCUUCGGGUCUAGUGGCGCACGGGUGCGUAACGCGUGGGAAUCUGCCCUUGGGUUCGGAAUAACAGUUGGAAACGACUGCUAAUACCGGAUGAUGACGUAAGUCCAAAGAUUUAUCGCCCAAGGAUGAGCCCGCGUAGGAUUAGCUAGUUGGUAAGGUAAAGGCUCACCAGGGCGACGAUCCUUAGCUGGUCUGAGAGGAUGAUCAGCCACACUGGGACUGAGACACGGCCCAGACUCCUACGGGAGGCAGCAGUGGGGAAUAUUGGACAAUGGGCGAAAGCCUGAUCCAGCAAUGCCGCGUGAGUGAUGAAGGCCUUAGGGUUGUAAAGCUCUUUUACCCGGGAUGAUAAUGACAGUACCGGGAGAAUAAGCUCCGGCUAACUCCGUG
RNAcentral lists this ribosomal RNA (433 nucleotides) under uncultured bacterium. Its description in RNAcentral is "partial 16S ribosomal RNA". It matches the Rfam family "Bacterial small subunit ribosomal RNA", at positions 29 to 507 of the family's 1533-position model. The record is from RNAcentral.